GCCGGGCGUGGUGGUGCAUGCCUGUAAUCCCAGCUACUCAGGAGGCUGAGGCAGGAGAAUCGCUUGAAUCCAGGAGGCGGAGGUUGCGGUGAGCCAAGAUUGUGCCGUCGCACUCCAGCCUGGGUGACAGAGCGAGACUCUGUCUCAA
RNAcentral lists this non-coding RNA (148 nucleotides) under Nomascus leucogenys (northern white-cheeked gibbon). The record is from Rfam by way of RNAcentral. Lineage: Eukaryota; Metazoa; Chordata; Mammalia; Primates; Hylobatidae.